UACAGAGGGGGCAAGCGUUGUUCGGAAUUACUGGGCGUAAAGGGCGCGUAGGCGGCCUGUUAAGUCGGACGUGAAAUCCCCGGGCUCAACCCGGGAACUGCGUCCGAUACUGGCAGGCUUGAAUCCGGGAGAGGGAUGUGGAAUUCCAGGUGUAGCGGUGAAGUGCGUAGAUAUCUGGAGGAACACCGGUGGCGAAGGCGGGUCUCUGGGCCAUUACUGACGCUGAGGAGCGAAAGCGUGGGGAGAGAACAGG
RNAcentral lists this ribosomal RNA (253 nucleotides) under uncultured bacterium. RNAcentral describes it as "partial 16S ribosomal RNA". It matches the Rfam family "Bacterial small subunit ribosomal RNA", at positions 524 to 776 of the family's 1533-position model. The record is from RNAcentral.